GUGCCAGCAGCCGCGGUAAUACGUAGGGGGCGAGCGUUGUCCGGAAUUACUGGGCGUAAAGGGUGCGUAGGCGGCGAUGCAAGUCCAUUGUGAAAAGCCCGGGCUUAACCUGGGAGGUGCAGUGGAAACUGUAUGGCUUGAGUGCAGGAGAGGAAAGUGGAAUUCCUAGUGUAGCGGUGAAAUGCGUAGAUAUUAGGAGGAACACCAGUGGCGAAGGCGACUUUCUGGACUGUAACUGACGCUGAGGCAC
RNAcentral lists this ribosomal RNA (250 nucleotides) under uncultured bacterium. RNAcentral's name for it is "partial 16S ribosomal RNA". It matches the Rfam family "Bacterial small subunit ribosomal RNA", at positions 505 to 754 of the family's 1533-position model. The record is from RNAcentral.